ACAUCCAACAAGCUCUUCUAGUUCAUUGGCUCCAUUUAUGGCCAGAAGAUGAAGAUUGGGAAGGUCAUUAGAAGUAGAUCCAGAGAAUAAUCUUUUCAACUUGUGACAAUGAUCAACAUGCAAUGCUUCUAGUUUUGGGAAACAUGGUUGAGGAGAAAGAAUAUUAGACAAAUUUUUAUCCCCUUCAAUGAUUUCUCUUAAUUCUUUGCAUUUCCUUAUCUUCAAAAGCUUCAACUCUGGUAAGCAUCUUACAACAGACUUUGGAAAUAUUACUUCCAACUUUUCACAUUCCCAUAUUUCUAAUGUGGUAAGAUGUUGGAGAGUAAGUGAACUGUUG
Molecule: long non-coding RNA, 337 nt
Filed under: Vigna radiata
Lineage: Eukaryota; Viridiplantae; Streptophyta; Magnoliopsida; Fabales; Fabaceae
Description: long non-coding RNA (VRAD_LNC011380)
Source: RNAcentral